This 320-nucleotide ribosomal RNA is filed under the name uncultured eukaryote. Its description in RNAcentral is "partial 18S ribosomal RNA". It matches the Rfam family "Eukaryotic small subunit ribosomal RNA", at positions 1470 to 1796 of the family's 1831-position model. The record is from RNAcentral.
CCCCUAGAUGUUCUGGGCCGCACGCGCGCUACACUGAACAGUUCAACAAGUCUUAACCUUGGCCGAUAGGUCUGGGUAAUCUUUGAACGCUGUUCGUGAUUGGGAUAGACUUUUGCAAUUAUGGGUCUUCAACGAGGAAUUCCUAGUAAACGCAAGUCAUCAGCUUGCAUUGAUUACGUCCCUGCCCUUUGUACACACCGCCCGUCGCACCUACCGAUUGAAUGGUCCGGUGAAAUCUCGGGACGGCGGCUUGGUCGCUUGCGUCCGACUGCUGAAACUUGAUUAAACCAUAUCAUUUAGAGGAAGGUGAANUCGUANCA